UUCUUUGGUUCUAGUCUCUUCUCUCAGCAGGGAGUGUCAAGUACUUCUUUAAGGACUUGGCCUCGGGGACUGCACGAAGAGAAGACGAAGAAGAAAGAUGAUGUUCUACAACGGGGAAAGACUGGAGAGGAUUCUCUCACUUCGAUCCCUUUUCAGAUUUUGAGCUGGAAUCCACGGGCAUUAUACUUUCCAAAUUUUGCUAGUGCAGAACAAUGCAAAAGCAUAAUCGAAAUUGCAAG
Olea europaea var. sylvestris is the source of this 239-nucleotide long non-coding RNA. RefSeq lists it as uncharacterized. The record is from RefSeq and is a predicted model, not a curated record. The transcript has 3 exons. NCBI's taxonomy places the organism in Eukaryota, Viridiplantae, Streptophyta, Magnoliopsida, Lamiales, Oleaceae.